CCGAAGCGGCCGCAUCCCCGAGCGCCGCGCUCGGGCGUUUCCGGGCGUUUCCGGCCGGGCCCUUCGGCAGGUUCCGCGGCGGCCGGGACAUGGCUGCCGGCCGGCAGGGGGAGCGGAGCAUCCGGCGCGGCCUGGCGGGCGCCGCGGCCUGAGCUGGGAGCCGAAACUACACACGAAGAGUACCUUUGAGUGCGUCAGGAAGGAGGGAGCCUCGGCUUGAGCGUGGCCCCAGGGGCCAGUGGCCGCUUGCCCUUGAACUGUGGAGAGUAACUAUGCCGUGUGGCUGGUGGGCCCGGCCCGGGAGCGGGGGCGAUGGCUGCUGACGGCGUUGGCCGAAUUGCAGUGUCCCCCUCCC
Sorex araneus (European shrew) is the source of this 355-nucleotide long non-coding RNA. RefSeq lists it as uncharacterized. NCBI's taxonomy places the organism in Eukaryota, Metazoa, Chordata, Mammalia, Eulipotyphla, Soricidae. The record is from RefSeq and is a predicted model, not a curated record. The transcript is spliced from 3 exons.